AUCCUACGGGGCGCAGCAGUAGGGAAUCUUCCACAAUGGACGAAAGUCUAAUGGAGCAACGCCGCGUGAGUGAAGAAGGGUUUCGGCUCGUAAAGCUCUGUUGGUAGUGAAGAAAGAUAGAGGUAGUAACUGGCCUUUAUUUGACGGUAAUUACUUAGAAAGUCACGGCUAACUACGUGCCAGCAGCCGCGGUAAUACGUAGGUGGCAAGCGUUGUCCGGAUUUAUUGGGCGUAAAGCGAGUGCAGGCGGUUCUAUAAGUCUGAUGUGGAAACCCUCGGCUCCACCCGAG
This 290-nucleotide ribosomal RNA is filed under the name uncultured bacterium. RNAcentral describes it as "partial 16S ribosomal RNA". It matches the Rfam family "Bacterial small subunit ribosomal RNA", at positions 335 to 617 of the family's 1533-position model. The record is from RNAcentral.